UACAGAGGUCCCAAGCGUUGUUCGGAUUCAUUGGGCGUAAAGGGUGCGUAGGCGGCGCGGUAAGUCGGGUGUGAAAUCUCGGGGCUUAACUCCGAAACUGCAUUCGAUACUGCCGUGCUUGAGGACUGGAGAGGAGACUGGAAUUUACGGUGUAACGGUGAAAUGCGUAGAUAUCGUAAGGAAGACCAGUGGCGAAGGCGGGUCUCUGGACAGUUCCUGACGCUGAGGCACGAAGGUCAGGGGAGCAAACGGG
RNAcentral lists this ribosomal RNA (253 nucleotides) under uncultured bacterium. RNAcentral's name for it is "partial 16S ribosomal RNA". It matches the Rfam family "Bacterial small subunit ribosomal RNA", at positions 524 to 776 of the family's 1533-position model. The record is from RNAcentral.